UCUGGUUCAGCUGAAGCAGCAGUCCUUGAAAAGAAAGGCAGGAUUGAAAAGGACAAAAAGUCCAAGUUCUGGAAAUCUCCUUGGUGUGGCCGCUUACUGGCACAAAUGCAUAAGCCACAGUCCUGAGUGCCCUCGUGCAUCACAGGAAGACAGUGCAAAGAGCUGGGCCUUUCCCGGGGACCGGAAACAGAAAGUUGCUUCUCAACUCAGAAUCACACGGGUUAGAGACCCAGACCCCAGGCCUCCAUUUCCGACCUGCUGAAUCAAAAUCUCCGCAGCGAGGACCGGGAAUCUGGAUUUAACCAGAGUUGGAAGAAUGCUAAAUCCUUCAAUGUGGGGCAAACAGACUGAGCAGAGGUCUUUCAGAGUUUCCUACUUCAUGGUUUUC
Lutra lutra (Eurasian river otter) is the source of this 388-nucleotide long non-coding RNA. RefSeq lists it as uncharacterized. The record is from RefSeq and is a predicted model, not a curated record. Lineage: Eukaryota; Metazoa; Chordata; Mammalia; Carnivora; Mustelidae. The transcript is spliced from 3 exons.